RNAcentral lists this ribosomal RNA (548 nucleotides) under Scopulariopsis brumptii. RNAcentral describes it as "eukaryotic LSU rRNA". It matches the Rfam family "Eukaryotic large subunit ribosomal RNA", at positions 98 to 665 of the family's 3401-position model. The record is from RNAcentral. Lineage: Eukaryota; Fungi; Ascomycota; Sordariomycetes; Microascales; Microascaceae.
GCGGCAACAGCUCAAAUUUGAAAUCUGGUCCCCUCGCGGGGCCCGAGUUGUAAUUUGAAGAGGAUGCUUCUGGCAAGGUGCCUUCCGAGUUCCCUGGAACGGGACGCCGCAGAGGGUGAGAGCCCCGUACGGUAGGACGCCGAGCCUCUGUGAAGCUCCUUCGACGAGUCGAGUAGUUUGGGAAUGCUGCUCAAAAUGGGAGGUAAACCCCUUCUAAAGCUAAAUACCGGCCAGAGACCGAUAGCGCACAAGUAGAGUGAUCGAAAGAUGAAAAGCACUUUGAAAAGAGAGUUAAAAAGCACGUGAAAUUGUUGAAAGGGAAGCGCUUGCGACCAGACUCGCGCCCGUCGGAUCAGCCGUCGCUUGUCGGCGGCGCACUCCGGCGGGCUCGGGCCAGCAUCAGUUCGCCUCGGGGGGAGAAAGGCGGCAGGAAUGUGGCUCUUCGGAGUGUUAUAGCCUGCCGCGUAAUACCCCCGGGCGGACUGAGGACCGCGCGUAUGCAAGGAUGCUGGCGUAAUGGUCGUCAGCGACCCGUCUUGAAACACGGA